Molecule: long non-coding RNA, 2324 nt
Filed under: Mus musculus (house mouse)
Lineage: Eukaryota; Metazoa; Chordata; Mammalia; Rodentia; Muridae
Description: long non-coding RNA chr16:40403715-40406039
Source: RNAcentral
AAAAUGAAGUAGAAUAGAAAUGGUCCAGAGCACAGACUUGUUGGGGGUCAAAGCAUUCUUCUGAACUGACCAAUGGAGUGAUUGCCACCAAAAGUCAUUUACAUAAAUGCAAGGUUCUGGGGUCUCAGAAAGGUGAGGGGCAAAAGGAAGCAAAGAGCAAAUUAGAGUUUCCAGCCUUGGAUUUGAAUGGAUUCGAAGCUCACAUAAGGAGGCUAAAAUAAGCACAUAAUGUGCAAAUGAUAGUGCUGCUGAGCAUGGAAGGUUCAGGACUGCAAGGUAGGCCACUUGACAGCAACAUGAAGAGUUAUGAUCGUGAGGUAUUUUUAUUUGUUUAAUUCAAGAGGAAAGGAGAGUCCUUUUCACUUUGGAUAACCAAUUCCUGAAUGUGUGUUUCCACCAAUUUGGGGACAGAAUUUUCAUCUGUGAUCCUUCCCUAUUUUAGCAACUAUUUUGACAUUUUCUUCUGAAAUGGCAGCUUGUGACAAGUACUUUCUCCUCAUGUAUGGCUCACCCUCAAGCCUAGGACUACCCUCAGAGAAGUCUUUUCAUUCUGCAGGACAUGUACCUAUUAUUUCUGCCGUCCAUGUGAUUUAGGCUUAGGGUGACCAAAGAGAAUGAUCAUAAAUGACAGAGCACUUAUUGUCUAGAUUUAAGGUCUCUUCAGGUCUAAUCCUAUAAUUCCAGAGUUAUUUAUUCACUGUAUACUUACAGGUCCUGGAGAUUUGCCUGACUUAUGAUGGAUUUUUUUAUGCCAGUAGUCUCUCUGCCUCUUCAUGCAUGCGUAGUGUUUCAAUAUUAACUUCAAUCAAUUUAUCUAUUAUUCUCCAAUUUUGAGUGGAACUUCAAUCUUUAUGCUUUCCUACCACUGUAGGCACCAUUUUUCACUUUAUGGAACAUUGUGAUAAUGCUAUAGAUAAUAUUUAUAAAUAUCUUAAAAUUAUAAAAUCACUAAUAUCACAGGGUUUUUCUUUUUAUGAAAAUACUGACAAAAUGAAUUAUAACUUACCUUCGACUUUAAUGAAGAUUUUUAAAGCUACUUUGGUUAAAAUUAAAAUAAAAAGAUAUGGUUCAUUUGAAAACCAAAAAGAUUCAUUGUCAAGAGCCCAGAGGCUCAGAACAUUCACAGAACAUAUGUAUAUUGACUUGAGAAGAAGAACUUAUAGUAUCAACUUUAAAUUUUAAAGUUUAAAGUAACUUUACAAUUGGCUUUAAUAUAUUUAUAUAAAGUAUUUAGCCCCUUUCACACUGUCUUGUGACUCCUCCAUCUCUCCUGAAACCUUUGUACCCAGAAAGUCAACGUUUAUGUUGUUUGACAUUUAUACAAAAAAAAUGACAAAAACCUGAGCUCAGAGUUUAAUUAGCAAAGUUGAGAUGGAGUAUGGUGGUCUUCAAAAUGAUUUAAUAUAUGUUGUGAGUUCUUGCAUUUUCACAUAAGUAACUUUUAAAUGAACACAUAAAAUUAUGUAGAGUUUACCCAUGAUCACAAGCUACACUAGAAACCGGAGCAAAUCAGAGUGUUUCAAUAAUGACAUGAACACACCCUGAAAGCCGUUAGGAACGUGUGAUACAGCUGUUCUUUACCUUCCCUGGAGAAGAUGAACAGAAUGUGCGUGGCUGUACCUUCUGUUUUGAAUGUGGUCUUUUCAUAUCUCUUUUUUCAAGUCGAUCUUCUAAGGUCAUUUUAGAAAGUACUAUAAACAUGUCCACAUGUUCUGUCAGUGAGAAGAGUAGAGUCUGCUAGGAGUCCCUCAUUUUUACCUGGUUAAAAUAGCCCGUGGGAAAGUGUAAUCUUUUCAAACAACCCAAUAGUUGUGUUUCUCCUUAUUCAUGCAACGAAUGGGAAAACUAUGCCUGUAGAGAAGCUUAUAUCAGUUUUAUUCAUAAUCUCUAAAAACUGGUACUAACCAAGAUGCCCUUCAAUAAAUAUGCAAACAAGCUUUACUACAACAAUAGGAUGUUAUUCAACAAUGAAAACGAAAUGGACCAUAUAACCAUGAAAUUUUAAAUGUGGACUAUUAGGUAAAAACAAUCACUCUGACUAAACUAUAUACAUAUACCAAAUAUUGAGUGGUUCCAUUUAUAUAACAUUUGAUAUCAUAUUGAGUUGAACAAACGAUAUAUGAAAGAGGCCUAUAAAUAUAAAUAGCCAGUGGUUGGCCAUCUUGAGGAGAGUAUGUCAAACAUGUAAAAGUGAAAGCACGGUACAUUUUUUGUAAGCUGCUCAAAUUAUUCUUUAUGAUAGUGCAUGCAAUGGUGCAUGCAUAACAAAAAUGUAUUUUUCAAAAGUGGGAAUUUACCACCAAUUAUUGAACUUUCAUAGGUAC